Molecule: long non-coding RNA, 569 nt
Filed under: Carica papaya (papaya)
Lineage: Eukaryota; Viridiplantae; Streptophyta; Magnoliopsida; Brassicales; Caricaceae
Description: long non-coding RNA (CPAP_LNC014168)
Source: RNAcentral
CUCUUUUGCAGUCGGGAUUGUUCUUCAGUUAACCUACACCACAAAGAAAUGAGGAACACAAUGGUAAAAAAAAUCGAGGAAAAUAGGAAAUGAGAAGGGGCUCAUCGAAGGAGGUUUUGGGUUUUGACCGCAGCGGCUCAGUUGAGCUCUGCUAGCAUUUUUUGGCUCACCCGUCGGCCUUUCGGCUCUGAUAUGAGCAUGAAGAGGUUCAAGAUUCAAUUCCAAGUUGAAGGAAGAAAAAUCUUACCUUUUCGGAGUCAGUGGUGGCUCUAGUGCGGCGGUAACGGUGGUUGGUCUCCUUCUUCAAUAUCUGGUUCACUUUUCGGCUGCCCUCCUUCUUCUUCUCUGAUCACCCUUUUGUCGGCUAGGGUUUUGGUUCCCUAUGAAGAAGAGUUUAAAUACUCAUCUUCAUUAAAUCCGGACCGUCCAUUUGAGGCGAUGUGACUCAUCAUCAACCGUUAGAUCUCUCUUAUUUGGGGAAUUAAUCUAGGCGGCACGAUCUGAUCAAAUCCAACUGUUCAAUCGCGCCUGAAGAGGAAACACAUCUAGGCUAUUCGUGCACGCGGGAU